UGGCGGGGUAACGGCCCACCAAGCCUGGGACGCCUACCGGGCGUGCGAGCGUGGCCCGGCACACUGGGACUGAGACACUGCCCAGACACCUACGGGUGGCUGCAGUCGAGAAUCUUCGGCAAUGGGCGCAAGCCUGACCGAGCGACGCCGCGUGGAGGACGAAGGCCUUCGGGUUGUAAACUCCUGUCGAGGGGGAACAAGGGCCGGUGGAGAAUCGGCCUUGAGUGAUCCCUGGAGGAAGCACGGGCUAAGUUCGUGCCAGCAGCCGCGGUAAU
Molecule: ribosomal RNA, 275 nt
Filed under: uncultured Aquisphaera sp.
Lineage: Bacteria; Pseudomonadati; Planctomycetota; Planctomycetia; Isosphaerales; Isosphaeraceae
Description: partial 16S ribosomal RNA
Rfam family: Bacterial small subunit ribosomal RNA
Source: RNAcentral